This 467-nucleotide ribosomal RNA is filed under the name uncultured bacterium. RNAcentral's name for it is "partial 16S ribosomal RNA". It matches the Rfam family "Bacterial small subunit ribosomal RNA", at positions 28 to 506 of the family's 1533-position model. The record is from RNAcentral.
GACGAACGCUGGCGGCGUGCUUAACACAUGCAAGUCGAACGGAAAGGCCCUGCUUUUGUGGGGUGCUCGAGUGGCGAACGGGUGAGUAACACGUGAGUAACCUGCCCUUGACUUUGGGAUAACUUCAGGAAACUGGGGCUAAUACCGGAUAGGAGCUCCUGCUGCAUGGUGGGGGUUGGAAAGUUUCGGCGGUUGGGGAUGGACUCGCGGCUUAUCAGCUUGUUGGUGGGGUAGUGGCUUACCAAGGCUUUGACGGGUAGCCGGCCUGAGAGGGUGACCGGCAAAAUGGGGAGGGGAAUACGCCCCGAACCCUCACGGGGGGAAGAGGGGGGAAAUUUUGCAAAGGGGGGGGAAGCCUGAGGAAGCAACGCCGGGGGGGGGAUGACGGCCUUCGGGUUGUAAACCGCUUUCGCCUGUGACGAAGCGUGGGGAACGGAAAUGGGGAAAAAAACACCGGCAAACUACGU